This 120-nucleotide ribosomal RNA is filed under the name uncultured bacterium. RNAcentral's name for it is "partial 16S ribosomal RNA". It matches the Rfam family "Bacterial small subunit ribosomal RNA", at positions 29 to 159 of the family's 1533-position model. The record is from RNAcentral.
AACGAACGCUGGCGGCAUGCCUAACACAUGCAAGUCGAACGAGACCUUCGGGUCUAGUGGCGCACGGGUGCGUAACGCGUGGGAAUCUGCCCUUGGGUCUGGAAUAACAGUUAGAAAUGA